CGGGGGGGGCAAGCGUUGUUCGGAAUUACUGGGCGUAAAGGGCUCGUAGGCGGCCAACUAAGUCAGACGUGAAAUCCCUCGGCUUAACCGGGGAACUGCGUCUGAUACUGGAUGGCUUGAAUCCGGGAGAGGGAUGCGGAAUUCCAGGUGUAGCGGUGAAAUGCGUAGAUAUCUGGAGGAACACCGGUGGCGAAGGCGGCAUCCUGGACCGGCAUUGACGCUGAGGAGCGAAAGCCAGGGGAGCAAACGGGAUUAGAUACCCCGGUAGUCCUGGCCCUAAACGAUGAAUGCUUGGUGUGGCGGGUAUCGAUCCCUGCCGUGCCGAAGCUAACGCAUUAAGCAUUCCGCCUGGGGAGUACGGUCGCAAGGCUG
This 372-nucleotide ribosomal RNA is filed under the name uncultured organism. Its description in RNAcentral is "bacterial SSU rRNA". It matches the Rfam family "Bacterial small subunit ribosomal RNA", at positions 526 to 896 of the family's 1533-position model. The record is from RNAcentral.